RNAcentral lists this ribosomal RNA (498 nucleotides) under uncultured bacterium. Its description in RNAcentral is "partial 16S ribosomal RNA". It matches the Rfam family "Bacterial small subunit ribosomal RNA", at positions 28 to 507 of the family's 1533-position model. The record is from RNAcentral.
GACGAACGCUGGCGGCGUGCCUAAUACAUGCAAGUCGAACGAGAGCGACCGGUGCUUGCACUGGUCAAUCUAGUGGCGAACGGGUGAGUAACACGUGGGUAACCUGCCCAUCAGAGGGGGAUAACAUCCGGAAACGGAUGCUAAAACCGCAUAGGUCUUCGAACCGCAUGGUUUGAAGAGGAAAAGAGGCGCAAGCUUCUGCUGAUGGAUGGACCCGCGGUGCAUUAGCUAGUUGGUGAGGUAACGACUCACCAAGGCCGUGAUGCAUAGCCGACCUGAGAGGGUGAUCGGCCACAUUGGGACUGAGACACGGCCCAAACUCCUACGGGAGGCAGCAGUAGGGAAUCUUCCGCAAUGGACGCAAGUCUGACGGAGCAACGCCGCGUGAGUGAAGAAGGUGUUCGGAUCGUAAAACUCUGUUGUUAGAGAAGAACAAGUGCUAGAGUAACUGUUAGCGCCUUGACGGUAUCUAAACAGAAAGCCACGGCUAACUACGUG